AAAUUGAAGAGUUUGAUCAUGGCUCAGAUUGAACGCUGGCGGCAGGCCUAACACAUGCAAGUCGAACGGUAACAGGAAGAAGCUUGCUUCUUUGCUGACGAGUGGCGGACGGGUGAGUAAUGUCUGGGAAACUGCCUGAUGGAGGGGGAUAACUACUGGAAACGGUAGCUAAUACCGCAUAACGUCGCAAGACCAAAGAGGGGGACCUUCGGGCCUCUUGCCAUCGGAUGUGCCCAGAUGGGAUUAGCUUGU
RNAcentral lists this ribosomal RNA (252 nucleotides) under Escherichia coli. RNAcentral describes it as "partial 16S ribosomal RNA". It matches the Rfam family "Bacterial small subunit ribosomal RNA", at positions 1 to 249 of the family's 1533-position model. Lineage: Bacteria; Pseudomonadati; Pseudomonadota; Gammaproteobacteria; Enterobacterales; Enterobacteriaceae. The record is from RNAcentral.